ACUAACUAAAAAGACAGAUGGGCCUUGAAGGCCUCUGAAGCCCAUUAGGGCGUACAACAACAAGGAGCAAGGGGGUGGUCCAAAACCCAGGAAGCCCAUGUGGCUGAUCCAAUUCGGGUUAUCCAUAACCCUGGACCGGGUCAAAGAAACCGACCUAAGAUCCGUUGGAUCUCCAACCUUGAAACAUGCGGAACGGCGUUUCCAACGCCUUGAGAAGGUCAACCAAUUCUUGGGCAGUGAGAGAUCUUGGCUCUCAUUCAUGGCCAUAAAUCAAAAAAUCUGCAGUUAAUGAUAAUUAACAACAAUGAAGAAUAUAUACGCUCUGUUCUUUCUCGUUCAAGAACUCAACCUUUCGGAAAGUAAUCGCGUCCCAAACCCUUACAUAUACCCAGAAACAAACUCCAACCUUAAACUACCUUCCUUGAAAUCCAACAUUAGAGUUACACAAAUCCAACAAACCUAAGCAAGAUACUCAUUUAUAUCUACCGAUUCGAGAAUAAUUUCCAGUGAUAUCACUCAAAGUAAAAGAAAAAUCAGGGAAGUGAUAUGAACCUUACCAACUCAGAGAAUCGGAACGUCCAGCUUCUGACGAUGUCGCUCAAGUUCUUCCGGCGAGUGUUCUGAUUGCAACCAAUUGUUCAGACAAAGUAUGCUUUCUCUUCACGGUUUGGCUUUUCUCUUUUCCUUUCCUACCCCAUUCUUGUCAAUAUGCUCCUCUGUUUAGACUUCUACUGAUGAGGUUUUAGAUUUGCUUUUUCCUCAGAGAUUCAAUACGAAACUCUAAAAGAAGAAAAGCUUUUAGGUGAGGAUGAGAAUUUCAACAGGGCAACGGUGCAAAAUCUCCUCCUCUUCUUCUAAUUUCUGUGUUCGAUGUGAUUUUUAUCAGGGUCUUAGCUCGUAUUACUCAAAGUUCUAAGGAUAAACUUUGAGCACCCAUUUGAUAUCUUUGAGCUUUGGUGUGCAGGUUAGGAUGCGAUUUCGGCAGAGUGACGGUGCAUAAAAUUAGGUCUUGGUCGAGUGACGGCGCACCGAUUAGGGUUUUUUCUUUUCAAUGAUUGGAUGUCUCUUAUAUAGAGCUCUGGGUUACCAAGUCUCUCACCUGUGAGCUGGCCAAAAAUCCAAGAUUUUCCGUUGGAAUCAAAUCUCCUCUAAUUUUGGUGUGGUCCCUAAUUUGAUGCAGGUGGCAAGGCGAGUUGGUUGGGAGUGGAAAUCUUUCCAUGAUGCGUGGUCCCAAAAUGCAGGUGCUUGAAGAUUUUGUCUGUAGUGAAUCCACGGUUUUUUUACUGGUGUUUGUCUACUGCUAUUUGGUUAUGGAUAUGCGCACAGUAGCAAUGCUCCAAUUUGACUUAAGCAUAGACAUUGGUUUGAUCGUGGUAUGUGGCUACCGCAGGUCUUGUUGUGACCACUGAUGUGUUGCAGAGUACUGAUUAUCUCAUUCCUGUUGAUAAGCCUGUGGUACUAUCUGGCGGCAAUCCUCCAAGAAGAUUGACAAAUGCUGCAGGUUUUGGUUCUGCAGCCAAGAUUUCUUGCCGUUUAAAGGGAUAGUUUGAUGGCAGUUGAUGUUAGCUAGUGCUGUGGUUUUGCAACAGCUUUGGUUGGCAGCGGUAUUGACGACACGGGUGGUGCAAGUGGGAAAUCUCG
Lathyrus oleraceus (garden pea) is the source of this 1641-nucleotide long non-coding RNA. RefSeq lists it as uncharacterized. The record is from RefSeq and is a predicted model, not a curated record. NCBI's taxonomy places the organism in Eukaryota, Viridiplantae, Streptophyta, Magnoliopsida, Fabales, Fabaceae. The transcript has 4 exons.